GGACUGGAUGCCAUCAUCAGAGACACUGGGGCCCACUGGGACUUAGCCCUGUGGGACAUCAAGGGGCUGUCACCUGCAGCCCUCACAGCCGCAGGCGAUUUCCAGAGGUCCGGGGGACAGCUGGGAAUAUCUUGUUCGUGGUCAUUUGGGGGAUGUUGGUUUGAUAUGGUUUGGUUCUUAACGCACCGUGGGGGAGACUGAAUCAUGAACUGGUUCUUCCAUUCUAGGAGGUUAUUGGAGGGAGUUUUUUUUUUUUUACUUCUGGAAAUGACAACCUGGAAGGACUCAUUAAAACAAUGCCUGGGGGUGAGGAAUGUUGAAGGAUGGGCCACUUUCAGUCAAGUUACCUGUCUUCACUUGGCGUUUCCAAACUUGCCUCAAAUACCUUGCCAAGGAAGUCUUAAGAUCGGAAAUCUUUUAGGUGAAAGUUAUCCCUCCCAUUCACAUUGGAUUAAGCAGAAAAGGGACUUUUUUUUUUUUUUUUCGGUGCAGGGAACCAGAAAAGUCCAAGGACCCUAGGAGCUGGUCUCAUGCCUUAUCCAUCCCUUCAUGGUGGCAAGAUGGCUGCCAACAGUUUCAGCCUCCAUCCCACCCUUUCAGAAAUCAAUACAAAGAAAGAAUACAUUUUUCCCCCCAGCAGUUUCCACAAAAGCUUUGGUGUGUAAAGUCCAUGAGGAUAGGGAUUUUUAUAUUUUGUUUACUGCCAUAUCCCUAGCUUCUGGAACAGUACCUGGUGUAUAGUAAGUGCUCAGUAAAUGUGCGAGUGAAUGAAGGAAGGAAGAAAGGAAGGAAGAAUCUCACUGGUGUGGCUAGUGAACCACAUGCCUCACUCACAUGCCUAGUUCAAGAGUUGGGGGAAUGGUUCCCAAAGCAAACUGGGGGUGCUGUUACCCAAUAUGAUGGGGCAUAGGCUGCUGGACAGAAGUCACCCAGCAUUUGAGUGGAGCUGUACCAAUGGUAUUGGAACCAUGUCGAGAGCAUUGGAGGAGCCUUCUAGCAAAACCAAAGUAGCAACUGAGUAUCAAUCAGCCUAAUAACCGGGCGAGCAGGAAUUCUAGCCGGCACGUGGAAUCCUAUACGUCCACAUUGCCUUGAUUGAAGAGUUCAGGUGAGAGUCUCCAAGGCUUAUCUUGUGACCGAAAUAAGAGCCUUAAAGUUGGCUGUUGAAAUCUUCUAGAAAAAUAAGACGACAUCUGGGCGUGUUCAUUCCACUGCAUCACUUAGGGACACGUGUACCCAGCAGCCCCUGGCUCACGGCUGCUUUUGGCCCAGGGUCACCAGGGGCUGCUGAAGGAUAUUCUUUUUUUUUUUUUUCCCCCCCCGAUGAAUACCAGAAUCAGGGGAGGCAAGAAGUGAACUAUAAUUGGAUUAGAAAGACAGCUUGGACUCGUAUAGUAGGCCGUUGUGGAGUCUUUUUGCCACUUGAAAAACCCUUUUGGACUGAAAGCGGUGACGUGAACUGUUUGAUUCCGUUUGCCUCCUGUUGUUGGAAGACAAAUGAAUCUCUGUGGCUGAAGGAGAGGCUGAGUCAAUAGACAUUUUCCCAGGGAAGCAGGUCGGGGCCGGUGCAGCAGCCCGGAGGUGCCGGAGGCCCGCGCGCCUUCCUCCGUGUUGCACCGCCUGCCUGUGCUGCCUGGUGGAAGAGGCUUUGGC
Molecule: long non-coding RNA, 1653 nt
Organism: Phyllostomus discolor (pale spear-nosed bat)
Lineage: Eukaryota; Metazoa; Chordata; Mammalia; Chiroptera; Phyllostomidae
Exons: 3
Source: RefSeq, a predicted model, not a curated record